AAACCCCCGGGCUCCACCCCUGGGAGAGUCCAUUGGAAAAACUUGGGCAACUUUAAGAUUCAGGAGAAGGAGGAGGUGGAAAUUUUCCAGUGUAAACGGGGGAAAUAGGGUAGAGAUUUUGGAGGGGACACCCAGUGGGGGAAGGGGAGUUCUCCUGGUGCUGUAAAAUGUCGCCUUUAGGGGUCGAAAAACGUGGGGGAGCGCAACAGGGAUAUAAGAACNCCCGGGAGAUGCCCCCCCGUGAAAAGAUAAGUGGCUUAGUGUUAGGGGGUCCUCCACCCCUUAGUGUCGGCAGCUAACGCAUUAAGCACUCCCCCUGGGGAGUACGGUCGGCAAGGCUGAAAACUCAAAGGAAUUGAUCGGGGGCCCCGCACAAAGCGGUGGAGCNAUGUGGGUUUAAUUUGAAGCAACGCGAAGAACCUUACCAGGUCUUGACAUCCCGUGGACCUUUGUAGAGAUAAAUUUUCCCCUUCGGGGGCAUCGGUCACGGGUGGUGCAGGGUUGUCGUCAGUUGGUGUGGUGAGAUGUGGGUUAAAUUCCUGCAGCGAGCGCACCCUUUCCUUUUAGUUCCCAUCGUUAAGUUGGGCACUCUAAGGAGACUGCCGGUGACAAACCGGAGGAAGGUGGGGAUGACGUCAAGUCAUCAUGCCCCUUAUGACCUGGGCUACACACGUGCUACAAUGGUCGAUACAAAGGGUUGCCAACUCGCGAGAGGGAGCUAAUCUGAUAAAGUCGUUCUCAGUUCGGAUUGCAGUCUGCAACUCGCCUACAUGAAGUCGGAAUCGCUAGUAAUCGCGGAU
Molecule: ribosomal RNA, 800 nt
Filed under: Lysinibacillus macroides
Lineage: Bacteria; Bacillati; Bacillota; Bacilli; Caryophanales; Bacillaceae
Description: bacterial SSU rRNA
Rfam family: Bacterial small subunit ribosomal RNA
Source: RNAcentral